UCCUCCCUCUUUCUUCGUGCUUAACACAUGCAAGUCGAACGGAAAGGCCCUGCUUUUGUGGGGUGCUCGAGUGGCGAACGGGUGAGUAACACGUGAGUAACCUGCCCUUGACUUUGGGAUAACUUCAGGAAACUGGGGCUAAUACCGGAUAGGAGCUCCUGCUGCAUGGUGGGGGUUGGAAAGUCUCGGCGGUUGGGGAUGGACUCGCGGCUUAUCAGCUUGUUGGUGGGGUAGUGGCUUACCAAGGCUUUGACGGGUAGCCGGCCUGAGAGGGUGACCGGCCACAUUGGGACUGAGAUAGGGCCCAGACUCCUACGGGAGGCAGCAGUGGGGAAUAUUGCACAAUGGGCGGAAGCCUGAUGCAGCAGCGCCGCGUGCGGGAUGACGGCCUUCGGGUUGUAAACCGCUUUCGCCUGUGACGACGCGUGAGUGACGGUAAUGGGUAAAGAAGCACCGGCUAACUACGUG
RNAcentral lists this ribosomal RNA (468 nucleotides) under uncultured bacterium. Its description in RNAcentral is "partial 16S ribosomal RNA". It matches the Rfam family "Bacterial small subunit ribosomal RNA", at positions 36 to 507 of the family's 1533-position model. The record is from RNAcentral.